CUGCUCCCUCCUAUGUGGUGUAUGUGGUACUGCUGAGCUUGUAUGUGAUCUGAACCAUUGUAAAGGUUGCAGUUCAAGGGCCUGAGGUGGAAGCAGAAUUUGUGAGGAUUACUACUGCUCCACUUGACCAAUACACUGACCAGCUCAUAAAAGUCUUCAAGAAAAAAGGAGGCGCUGCAGUGAAGAAAAUUAGACAAACUUUGGCCCCUGCCACAAAGGUGCGUUAUUCUGUUGGUAGCAAAAUAUUAUGGCUAAUAAGAUCACUUUCAAAUUUAACAGCUAGUGUAUGGUAGCUGCACAGUGUACUUACAUUUAUAUUAAGCAAGACAAAGUUUGGUACUCAAAACUUUGGAAA
This is a long non-coding RNA of Oreochromis niloticus (Nile tilapia), 355 nucleotides long. RefSeq lists it as uncharacterized. Lineage: Eukaryota; Metazoa; Chordata; Actinopteri; Cichliformes; Cichlidae. The record is from RefSeq and is a predicted model, not a curated record. The transcript is spliced from 3 exons.